GCUAGGAUGAACGCUAGCGACAGGCUUAACACAUGCAAGUCGAGGGGCAGCAUAAAAGUAGCAAUACUUGGUGGCGACCGGCGCACGGGUGAGUAACGCGUAUGCAACCUACCUAUCAGAGGGGAAUAACCCGGCGAAAGUCGGACUAAUACCGCAUAAAACAGGGGCACCUCAUGGUGAUAUUUGUUAAAGAAAUUCGCUGAUAGAUGGGCAUGCGUUCCAUUAGGUAGUUGGUGAGGUAACGGCUCACCAAGCCGACGAUGGAUAGGGGAACUGAGAGGUUGGUCCCCCACACUGGUACUGAGACACGGACCAGACUCCUACGGGAGGCAGCAGUGAGGAAUAUUGGUCAAUGGGCGGGAGCCUGAACCAGCCAAGUCGCGUGAAGGAAGAAGGAUCUAUGGUUCGUAAACUUCUUUUGCAGGGGAAUAAAGUGCAGGACGUGUCCUGUUUUGUAUGUACCCUGAGAAUAAGGAUCGGCUAACUCCGUGCCAGCCGCCGC
This 502-nucleotide ribosomal RNA is filed under the name uncultured bacterium. Its description in RNAcentral is "bacterial SSU rRNA". It matches the Rfam family "Bacterial small subunit ribosomal RNA", at positions 26 to 518 of the family's 1533-position model. The record is from RNAcentral.